RNAcentral lists this ribosomal RNA (403 nucleotides) under bacterium. RNAcentral describes it as "partial 16S ribosomal RNA". It matches the Rfam family "Bacterial small subunit ribosomal RNA", at positions 355 to 776 of the family's 1533-position model. The record is from RNAcentral.
UGGGGAAUAUUGCACAAUGGGGGAAACCCUGAUGCAGCGACGCCGCGUGAACGAAGAAGGUAUUCGUAUCGUAAAGUUCUGUCCUAUGGGAAGAUAAUGACAGUACCAUAGAAGAAAGCUCCGGCUAAAUACGUGCCAGCAGCCGCGGUAAUACGUAUGGAGCGAGCGUUGUCCGGAAUUAUUGGGCGUAAAGGGUACGCGGGCGGUUUAAUAAGUCGAAUGUUAAAGAUCGGGGCUCAACCCCGUAAAGCAUUGGAAACUGAUAAACUUGAGUAGUGGAGAGGAAAGUGGAAUUCCUAGUGUAGUGGUGAAAUACGUAGAUAUUAGGAGGAAUACCAGUAGCGAAGGCGACUUUCUGGACACAAACUGACGCUGAGGUACGAAAGCGUGGGGAGCAAACAGG